Molecule: ribosomal RNA, 59 nt
Filed under: Rhodococcus opacus
Lineage: Bacteria; Bacillati; Actinomycetota; Actinomycetes; Mycobacteriales; Nocardiaceae
Description: partial 23S ribosomal RNA
Source: RNAcentral
CUGGAAGUCCGGUAACGGAUGCAGGUGACUGGUACUAAUAGGCCGAGGACUUACCACAA